RNAcentral lists this ribosomal RNA (230 nucleotides) under uncultured bacterium. RNAcentral describes it as "partial 16S ribosomal RNA". It matches the Rfam family "Bacterial small subunit ribosomal RNA", at positions 524 to 753 of the family's 1533-position model. The record is from RNAcentral.
UACGAAGGGGGCUAGCGUUGCUCGGAAUCACUGGGCGUAAAGGGUGCGUAGGCGGGUCUUUAAGUCAGGGGUGAAAUCCUGGAGCUCAACUCCAGAACUGCCUUUGAUACUGAAGAUCUUGAGUCCGGGAGAGGUGAGUGGAACUGCGAGUGUAGAGGUGAAAUUCGUAGAUAUUCGCAAGAACACCAGUGGCGAAGGCGGCUCACUGGCCCGGUACUGACGCUGAGGUA